GCUGAGGAAUGAUGACAAUAAAAGGGCCGAAUUGCAGUGUGUCCUAUAGCAGUUUGCUCUCUCUGGGCACACGAUGACAAAAUCUCCUGAAGCGAAUCUCUGGUCUGACCUCAGU
This is a small nucleolar RNA of Tupaia belangeri (northern tree shrew), 115 nucleotides long. Ensembl annotates it as small nucleolar RNA, C/D box 89. Its record names the gene SNORD89. The record is from Ensembl. NCBI's taxonomy places the organism in Eukaryota, Metazoa, Chordata, Mammalia, Scandentia, Tupaiidae.